UGUGUUCUAGAAUCUCUAAAGAAUUUUACAGCUUCAUCAGAAUAACAGAAUAUUACCAAGACAACUUUUACUGAAAAAUACAACAAACACAAAUAUGAACUGCUAUAAAUACAACGGACGGGAUUGUGACAUCAUCAUAGCGGUCGAAGGCACUCAUUUCCAGGCUCACAGAUUAGUGCUGUUGGAAUUGAGCCCUUAUUUCAGGUGAGGCUUAAAAACCACAGCAGAGAAACAUCUCAGAGGUGUGGUGUGGGGUUGAGAAGUAUACGAAUGAACCGUGAGUGAACAGUUUCAUAGUUCCCUUUCGGAACUUGAGCUGCGUCGAAACGCUAUGGGAACACCCUCUGCAUGACCGCGCUCUGAACCACGUGUGUAAUUUGACCAAUAGGCGUUGGGACGUGACGUCAUCGGCGGGUGACGUCGCGUAAACAGGAAGCUACAAAUGGCUGCGAGAUGGACAAGACGCUAGCUUCUGCUCGUUCAGUGCUCUGUUCUCAAGGUGGAGCAGCCCGAACCAGAUCAUAUACACCAUCCAUGGCGUGGCUCCAUACAUAAUGGACUACAUCAUCCAGUACGCUUACACGAAGCGGAUCAGAAUCACGCAAAGAAACGUGAAGGAUCUGUUGAUGGCAGCCGAUUAUCUGUUAGUGAAAGACGUCGUUCGACUCUGCUGCAAGUUUCUGGAGAAGCAGCUCUGCCCACAUAACUGCCUUGAUAUAUGGAGGUUUGCCCGUAUAUACUCCUGGCACAAGCUGUGUGUUAAAGCAGCUAUAAUGGCGAAGAUGAACCUGCCGUGCCGGAUUGCUUGUUCUGUACCCAGAUUGAAUUUAUGGCCACACUCCUCCCUGGACAGUGUGGGUGUCUGUUCUAUAAGAAGGUGUCAAAACUGCUACACAUGGCCUAACCGAGAGGAACAGUAACCAAGCCUGGAACUCUGCCACCAGACCAUGCACACACACAAAUACACACAAAAACACUUUUUUUUUUAAUUAGUCCACAUAAUCAAAGCUUGAUCAUGUACAAUCUCACAACAGCAUAUCAUUCUCUCUUGCAGGGUUUCACUGAACACGACAUAAAAUACAUGAUACAUGCUCAGGGGAUAAAACCUGAUUAUAUAAAAUACAAAUAAAAGUGUCAAUCCGAUUAUGACUUCUUUACAAUUCA
Tachysurus fulvidraco (yellow catfish) is the source of this 1164-nucleotide RNA transcript. It is a transcript of the gene named kelch-like protein 10, with no coding region annotated. NCBI's taxonomy places the organism in Eukaryota, Metazoa, Chordata, Actinopteri, Siluriformes, Bagridae. The record is from RefSeq and is a predicted model, not a curated record. The transcript is spliced from 2 exons.